UACAGAGGGUGCGAGCGUUAAUCGGAAUUACUGGGCGUAAAGCGUGCGUAGACGGUUAUUUAAGUCGGAUGUGAAAGCCCCGGGCUCAACCUGGGAAUUGCAUUCGAGACUGAAUAGCUAGGGUACGGUAGAGGGAAGCGGAAUUUCCGGUGUAGCGGUGAAAUGCGUAGAUAUCGGGAGGAACACCUGAGGCGAAGGCGGGUUGCUAGGCUGACACUGACGCUGAGUGCGCGAAAGCCAGGGGAGCAAACGGG
This 254-nucleotide ribosomal RNA is filed under the name uncultured bacterium. RNAcentral's name for it is "partial 16S ribosomal RNA". It matches the Rfam family "Bacterial small subunit ribosomal RNA", at positions 524 to 776 of the family's 1533-position model. The record is from RNAcentral.